This 439-nucleotide ribosomal RNA is filed under the name uncultured bacterium. RNAcentral describes it as "bacterial SSU rRNA". It matches the Rfam family "Bacterial small subunit ribosomal RNA", at positions 448 to 888 of the family's 1533-position model. The record is from RNAcentral.
AAAAGGCCCCUGCUGGGGAAAUUGCCCGUGCCAGAUGAAUGACCACCGGCUAACUCCUUGCCAGCGGCCGCGGUUAUUCCGAAGGUGCAGGCGUUGUCCCGAUUUAUUGGGUUUAAAAGGUGCGUAGGCGGCUGUUUAAGUCUCUGGUGAAAAACUCCGGCUCAACCUGAGCAGUGCCAUUGAUACUGGACAGCUUGGAUUUUGGAGGGGUACAUGGAAUUGAUGGUGUAGCGGUGAAAUGCAUAGAUACCAACACGAACACCUAUUCCGAAAGCGUUGUACUGGCCCAUAACUGACGCUGAUGCACAAAAGCAUGGGUAGCGAAAAGGAUUAGAUUCCCUGGUAGUCCAUGCCCUAAACGAUGAUUACUCGCUGUUGUGCCUUUAUGGUGUAGCGGCCAAGCGAAAGCGUUAAGUAAUCCACCUGGGGAGUACGCUCG